Molecule: ribosomal RNA, 380 nt
Filed under: Comamonas testosteroni
Lineage: Bacteria; Pseudomonadati; Pseudomonadota; Betaproteobacteria; Burkholderiales; Comamonadaceae
Description: bacterial SSU rRNA
Rfam family: Bacterial small subunit ribosomal RNA
Source: RNAcentral
AAGGCCCUCGGGUUGUAAACUGCUUUUGUACGGAACGAAAAGCCUGGGGCUAAUAUCCCCGGGUCAUGACGGUACCGUAAGAAUAAGCACCGGCUAACUACGUGCCAGCAGCCGCGGUAAUACGUAGGGUGCAAGCGUUAAUCGGAAUUACUGGGCGUAAAGCGUGCGCAGGCGGUUUUGUAAGACAGUGGUGAAAUCCCCGGGCUCAACCUGGGAACUGCCAUUGUGACUGCAAGGCUAGAGUGCGGCAGAGGGGGAUGGAAUUCCGCGUGUAGCAGUGAAAUGCGUAGAUAUGCGGAGGAACACCGAUGGCGAAGGCAAUCCCCUGGGCCUGCACUGACGCUCAUGCACGAAAGCGUGGGGAGCAAACAGGAUUAGAU